This 470-nucleotide ribosomal RNA is filed under the name uncultured Comamonadaceae bacterium. RNAcentral's name for it is "bacterial SSU rRNA". It matches the Rfam family "Bacterial small subunit ribosomal RNA", at positions 335 to 797 of the family's 1533-position model. The record is from RNAcentral. Lineage: Bacteria; Pseudomonadati; Pseudomonadota; Betaproteobacteria; Burkholderiales; Comamonadaceae.
UGCCCUACGGGCGGCAGCAGUGGGGAAUUUUGGACAAUGGGCGCAAGCCUGAUCCAGCCAUGCCGCGUGCGGGAAGAAGGCCUUCGGGUUGUAAACCGCUUUUGUCAGGGAAGAAACGGUCUAGGCUAAUACCUUGGACUAAUGACGGUACCUGAAGAAUAAGCACCGGCUAACUACGUGCCAGCAGCCGCGGUAAUACGUAGGGUGCAAGCGUUAAUCGGAAUUACUGGGCGUAAAGCGUGCGCAGGCGGUCAUGCAAGACAGAUGUGAAAUCCCCGGGCUCAACCUGGGAACUGCAUUUGUGACUGCAUGACUUGAGUACGGCAGAGGGGGAUGGAAUUCCGCGUGUAGCAGUGAAAUGCGUAGAUAUGCGGAGGAACACCGAUGGCGAAGGCAAUCCCCUGGGCCUGUACUGACGCUCAUGCACGAAAGCGUGGGGAGCAAACAGGAUUAGAUACCCGGGUAGUCCA